Molecule: ribosomal RNA, 440 nt
Filed under: uncultured bacterium
Lineage: Bacteria
Description: partial 16S ribosomal RNA
Rfam family: Bacterial small subunit ribosomal RNA
Source: RNAcentral
CCUACGGGAGGCAGCAGUGGGGAAUAUUGCACAAUGGGGGAAACCCUGAUGCAGCGACGCCGCGUGAGUGAAGAAGUAAUUCGUUAUGUAAAGCUCUAUCAGCAGGGAAGAAAAUGACGGUACCUGAGUAAGACGCCCCGGCUAACUACGUGCCAGCAGCCGCGGUCAUACGUAGGGGGCAAGCGUUAUCCGGAUUUACUGGGUGUAAAGGGAGCGUAGACGGCAGGGCAAGUCUGGAGUGAAAGGCGGGGGCUCAACCCCCGGACUGCUCUGGAAACUGUACGGCGGGAGUGCAGGAGAGGUAAGUGGAAUUCCUAGUGUAGCGGUGAAAUGCGUAGAUAUUAGGAGGAACACCAGUGGCGAAGGCGGCUUACUGGACUGUAACUGACGUUGAGGCUCGAAAGCGUGGGGAGCAAACAGGAUUAGAUACCCGGGUAGUC